This 364-nucleotide small RNA is filed under the name Pongo abelii (Sumatran orangutan). RNAcentral's name for it is "retained intron". The record is from RNAcentral. Lineage: Eukaryota; Metazoa; Chordata; Mammalia; Primates; Hominidae.
GGAGCGCGCCAAAUUUCUCCCGUGAAGCAGAGGCUGUAGCCAGCGGCUCCAUGGCUCUGAGGAGCGGCGCGCGGAGGCGCGCGGACCCAGGCGCGGAUGGCGAGGCCAGCAGGGAUGAUGGUGCCACUUCCUCAGUCUCGGCACUCAAGCGCCUGGAACGGAGUCAGUGGACGGAUAAGAUGGAUUUGCGGUUUGGUUUUGAGCGGCUGAAGGAGCCUGGUGAGAAGACAGGCUGGCUCAUUAACAUGCAUCCUGUAAGCACUAAGUCCUUCUCCCACCCAGGAGUAUGGUUACAACCCUUCUUGUCAUAGCGUGGUCCGUGUCUAAAGAGUGGGGGACCCAUGAGGGAACUUUGAGUGAAUCA